GCCCAUCCACGCUCAGCUGCCUCGUGGCCUCUGAUGCGGACACUGGCCCUCCGAGCCGCGAGGCGCGGUGGGCCCAAGAGCGCGGCCGUCGUGUGUGGCCGGGAGCGGCGAGUGGUGGGCUACUGCGCACGUCGCCCCGAGCCCCAUGCCGACGCAGGGCCUUGUUUGACCCCAUAACGAGGAGUGCGCCGUCGCGGCUUCCCGCCGCGCGGCGUCUUCGGACC
Molecule: unclassified non-coding RNA, 224 nt
Filed under: Carex grandiligulata
Lineage: Eukaryota; Viridiplantae; Streptophyta; Magnoliopsida; Poales; Cyperaceae
Description: partial ITS2
Source: RNAcentral